This 2032-nucleotide long non-coding RNA is filed under the name Homo sapiens (human). RNAcentral's name for it is "HSALNT0319643". The record is from RNAcentral. Lineage: Eukaryota; Metazoa; Chordata; Mammalia; Primates; Hominidae.
CUAACCUCAGGGGCCUCCAGGCAGAUCAGGAGAGCAGGUCAUUCACCACUCACGAGGACAAAACGAACUGACUCAGCCUUCUUUUGGGGGUAGGGGAUUGAUUCCUGGACCAUUAGGGAGUGUUUAAAAGAGAUUAAUUGGCCACUGGUGGGACCACUCCAGUCACUUUCCAGGCAAGACAGGGCUACCUUCAGCAUCUCUAGUGAAAGUGGUGAAUUAGCACUUCAGAAGUGAGAUGGCAUGGACAGAAGCUUCUGGGGCUGAGCUCACCAUUGGAAGCUUCUUUCCAGCUUCCUGAAGGUCUCUGGAGGUCUCUUCUUACCGGGGAGGAUGAUCCCUGGUGGCUCCCUGCUGACAUUCUUCAAAACUCGGCUAUUUCCCCAGUGUCCUGCUGAUAAAACAGAAGAGGAAAUGAUGAAAAAGGUAGCUGCUUCUCCUUCAUUUUCCACCCUGAUUGCAAGUUUCCUGAGGCCUCAGCAGCCAUGCAGAACUAAGAAGAACCAAAACACAUCUGAUCUGCUCUUAAAGGAAACUCAAUUGUGACAAGCAGAGGAAACUAAAGAGGCUGGCAUGCAGUGGCAUGAUCUCGGCUCACCGCAACCUCUGCCUCCCAGGUGCAACUGAUUAUCCUGCCUCAGCCUCCUGAGUAGCUGGAUUACAGGGCCUGGCCCAUGGCAGGAGCUCAGGAAAUGUCAGAUAAAUGAUUGAAUUUACAAGAACAAGCCCAACAGUUAAGAAAACUUCAGCUCCUGCCUCCUGCCCAUGCAGCCCAGAAGGGCCAGUUUCAUGCCAUGUUUGAUUGCCGCUCCGGUCCCAGGAGGGAUGGAAUCUGCUGUCUCACCAAGACUUGGGCAUGAGGCUGGCCUUCUCCAGAAGCUCCAGGCCCAGAGAAACAAUACAUCUAACCAAAGUCCCCCAGGGAGUCUUGGCACACAGUUGGUGCUCAGUGGACAUUGGAAUGUUUCAACAGCCAUGUCUCCUUGUUGCUGAACUGAGCAACAUCCAUGGACAUCCAUGGGACAGAUGGUUCUCUCUCCAGCAUGGAAUCAGAAGGCCUGGUUUCAAGUUCCAGGACUGUGCCUCAUUCAUUGUGUGUUGCUGGCUGAGUCACUUAACCUGCCUGAGCAAAGAACAGAGAAGCAGUCAGAUUUGGAAUCCACUGGGGAGGCAGGGUUUGUAAAACUUGUUGAUUAAAUGAACAAGAGUAUGUGGGAAUGAGAAGAAUCAAAAUCUAAGCCAAGCAUCUGGCCUGAACAGCUGGGUGGUCAGUGAACCCAUUUCCUGGAAUGAAGAAGAUGGGAAUGCAGGGGUGUUUUUGGAGUGGAGUUUGGGUCAAGAGUUUGGAUUUCUAUGUAAUGGAAGUUGUGGGCAGCCAUUGGAAGGAUAUUGACUUUCCUUCCAAGGAGCUGGAGAGCUUCUUAGAGGCCUUUGUCACACCUACCUGGUUCUCCCAGCUCUCUCCAGCUAACAGCCCAAGUCCUUCUCUCCGGCUACAUGACCCUACACAGUAUGGUCCCCACUGCCUCUCUGCCCACUGCCCAUAGGACUCCUUCUUGCUCUCUGUUGGCCCCUGCUCUAGGAUGUGUCCCUUACUUUCUCAGCAGGACCUUCUCAUCUCCCAGAUACCCACCUGGCUCUCCCAUCACCUCCUUCAAUCUUUGUCUAAAUGUCACCUUCUCAAGAAAACCAAGCCUGGCCACUCCACUCUCUGCAAAAAUAGCAAAACUCUACCCUUCCUCUCUCUAGUAUCCCCUGUCCCUCUCACUGGGUUUAUUUUUCUUCAAAGUACUUACCACAUUCUAAUUCACUCACACCUAGAAUCUCUGCUUCCUCUCACUUGAAUAUAAACUUCAGGACGGCAGGGAUUUUUGUUUGCUUUGUUCACUGCUGUAUCCCCACAGCCGAGAAUGGUGCCCAGCAUGUAGUAGGGCAGGGAUUUUUGUUUGCUUUGUUCACUGCUAUAUUCCCACAGCCGAGAAUGGUGCCUAGCAUGUAGUAGGUGCUCAAUAAAUAUAUGUUAAAUUCAUUGAAA